This 405-nucleotide ribosomal RNA is filed under the name uncultured bacterium. RNAcentral describes it as "bacterial SSU rRNA". It matches the Rfam family "Bacterial small subunit ribosomal RNA", at positions 976 to 1380 of the family's 1533-position model. The record is from RNAcentral.
UACUCUUGACAUCCAGAGAACUUGGCAGAGAUGCCUUGGUGCCUUCGGGAACUCUGAGACAGGUGCUGCAUGGCUGUCGUCAGCUCGUGUUGUGAAAUGUUGGGUUAAGUCCCGCAACGAGCGCAACCCUUAUCCUUUGUUGCCAGCGCGUGAUGGCGGGAACUCAAAGGAGACUGCCGGUGAUAAACCGGAGGAAGGUGGGGAUGACGUCAAGUCAUCAUGGCCCUUACGAGUAGGGCUACACACGUGCUACAAUGGCGUAUACAAAGGGAAGCGACCCCGCGAGGGCAAGCGGAACUCAUAAAGUACGUCGUAGUCCGGAUUGGAGUCUGCAACUCGACUCCAUGAAGUCGGAAUCGCUAGUAAUCGUAGAUCAGAAUGCUACGGUGAAUACGUUCCCGGGCC